Molecule: long non-coding RNA, 1377 nt
Filed under: Lepisosteus oculatus (spotted gar)
Lineage: Eukaryota; Metazoa; Chordata; Actinopteri; Semionotiformes; Lepisosteidae
Description: lncRNA (ENSLOCG00000021333.1)
Source: RNAcentral
UACAGGUCCUGUGAUCCAUAAGGAUUUCACUUGAUAGACCCUUCAUCUCUCCAGUCUCUCCCUGUGAAAUUUGUAAUGAAGGAAAGACUGUCCACAGGGAAUGUCAGACAUGAAGAAUACCAGAAGCCUCAGCCCUUUCCUUACCCGUGUGAGAUGGAGAGUCUCCUCUCAGUGGCCCCACCACACCUCCUUCAUUCUCACCUGGGCCUGGCAGCAGACAGACAGCAAGGAACAGGAGGAGAAGUUAGCAGGAGAGGUAGACAGACAGAGACAGGAGAAAAUGAGCAGCAGCUUCUCUUCUGGAUUCUUGACAAAUUGAAGGAACAAGGGCACAGAAGGAGUUCUGACUAAAUUUAUGAAAAGCAGCUUUUUGCAGCUUUUAUAUCAGUGGCAAUAUUUAACUUUCCUCAUAAACACACCAGAUCUGCCACUCUUGGUUUCUUGGAUGCAUUUGUAAAAUGUUCACCUUGAAGUUGUUAGUUCAGAGGGCAGGCUCACCUGUGUAUGAUUAGUUAUUUUAUUAAAGGAGUGUAUUUUUCUCUUAUAAAGAUUUAUGUCCACUUCCAAGUGCAUUAGAUGAUCAAUAUAAGGGAUCAAUUGAAAUCCCUUAUAUUCCAAGGGUAUAAGGGAUGACCGUCUAGAGAUAAUCAACUGGGCCCUCUUAUUGGAAAUAUUAUCUUGUGUUCUGUGAAUUGGGUUUAUUCUAUAGCUCUUUUUUAAAACUAUUGUUUUUUAUCAUCAAUGGCAGUGUUUUACUGUUUAAUAUAAUAUAUACAGUAUAAUACAUAAUAUGACUAAGAAUAUUUAAUAUACUGUUAUCUAAUGUCUAUAGUCUAGGAUUUACUCACCUCUGUAACAGCCCCUUAUCAUGUAACACUUCAUAAGGCACAAAGAAAAAAAUAAAGCAUGUUAAUUUCUAAGUGUACAGCUUGCAAGCACAGGCAUUUUCCUUUCCUUUUAAGGGAGUGCCUGAGCAACAAAGUUCAAAUGCUUUGCUGUCAAGAAGCUGACAGAUUCCUACUGCAUUAACAAAUCACUGGAGUACAGCUUAAUUAGUAGGAAAAUAAACAAAAGAUGUUGACUAAGAAAGGAAACAGCAAAGCCUUUUUUCUGACAUGUAAAAUCCACAGUCCUCUUCUAGGCCCUUCCCUUAUUUCCCAGAGAUAUUAACGAGAAGUCUUUAAUUGGCCUUAGGAGUUUCAACAACUUGACCCUCAAGAGAACACAGAGAGCUGCAACUAGUCAGCUAGACCAGCAGCACUAAUGGCCAGAAAGAGCCAUCUUCUGUCUAAUAAAUAGAAAUCUGUGAAAGGGGGGAUGCAGCAAUUUAAACAAAGUGGUCUCCCAUGUCCUUUUAACACUGACCCUGUUAAGGGG